RNAcentral lists this long non-coding RNA (516 nucleotides) under Sus scrofa (pig). RNAcentral's name for it is "lncRNA (ENSSSCG00070021684.1)". The record is from RNAcentral. Lineage: Eukaryota; Metazoa; Chordata; Mammalia; Artiodactyla; Suidae.
UUAUCUCAUAACCAUCCGGUGGGGACACACACAACCAGUUCACCACAACAUGGCAGGUAUAUAGCUAGCUGCAUGGAGUUAUGAAAGGACAAUGUGUCUGAUUCAGGGAUGUAACAUUCAACUCACUACAUUUAACAAACUUAGUCAGGAGGCUAAAUCUAAGCAGACUAACCAAACAACCAAAAGUGUGGAUGCAUAUGUGGAAGAAGAUCUUGUCCACAGAGCCUGUGAUACUGGGGACUUAUAAAGUAUACUGACAAGGUGGUCUUUGAUCAAAGCCGAUGACUUGACGCCAAAACAUCUGCCCACAUGUGCUGAAGAUCUGUGCAGAGAAUGAAAACCUUGAUUACCUUGCGAACUUCACUUCUGCAACAGGAAGUUAAAAACUUGAAAUUUAUAUUGAAAUGGAUUUAUAUGUCUUCUUUCUGUCAAAUACACCUUCACAUCUGAAUGUGAGAGUCUGAUGUGAACAUUCAUCAAAGAAUAAAUUUACUUCCAAUGUGCUUUUGAAUCCUC